GACGAACGCUGGCGGCGUGCUUAACACAUGCAAGUCGAACGGUAAGGCCUUCGGGUACACGAGUGGCGAACGGGUGAGUAACACGUGGGUGAUCUGCCCUGCACUUUGGGAUAAGCCUGGGAAACUGGGUCUACUACCGAAUACGACUACGGCCUGCAUGGGGUGUGGUGGAAAGCUUUUGCGGUGUGGGAUGGGCCCGCGGCCUAUCGGCUUGUUGGUGAGGUCACGGCUCACCCAGGCGACGACGGGUAGCCGGCCUGAGAGGGUGACCGGCCACACUGGGACUGAGAUACGGCCCAGACUCCUACGGGAGGCAGCAGUGGGGAAUAUUGCACAAUGGGCGCAAGCCUGAUGCAGCGACGCCGCGUGAGGGAUGACGGCCUUCGGGUUGUAAACCUCUUUCAGUAGGGACGAAGCGCAAGUGACGGUACCUAUAGAAGAAGGACCGGCCAACUACGUGCCAGCCGCCGCCGUAA
RNAcentral lists this ribosomal RNA (476 nucleotides) under uncultured bacterium. RNAcentral describes it as "partial 16S ribosomal RNA". It matches the Rfam family "Bacterial small subunit ribosomal RNA", at positions 28 to 523 of the family's 1533-position model. The record is from RNAcentral.